Molecule: ribosomal RNA, 305 nt
Filed under: uncultured microorganism
Description: bacterial SSU rRNA
Rfam family: Bacterial small subunit ribosomal RNA
Source: RNAcentral
GAGUUUGAUCUUGGCUCAGGAUGAACGCUGGCGGCGUGCUUAACACAUGCAAGUCGAACGGAGAUUAUACGCAGAGGCGAUUUCGGUCAAAUCAUGUAAAAUCUUAGUGGCGGACGGGUGAGUAACGCGUGGGGUAACCUGCCUUACACUGGGGGAUAACACUUAGAAAUAGGUGCUAAUACCGCAUAAGCGCACGAAGCCGCAUGGGAUUUGUGUGAAAAACUCCGGUGGUGUAAGAUGGACCCGCGUCUGAUUAGCUUGUUGGCGGGGUAACGGCCCACCAAGGCGACGAUCAGUAGCCGGCC